Molecule: transfer RNA, 69 nt
Filed under: Opsopoeodus emiliae (pugnose minnow)
Lineage: Eukaryota; Metazoa; Chordata; Actinopteri; Cypriniformes; Leuciscidae
Description: tRNA-Ser
Source: RNAcentral
AAAGAAGGGCAGAAAUCAGUAAGUACUGCUAAUACUUACACCCCGGGGUUAGAAUCCCCGGCUUCUUUA